Molecule: small nuclear RNA, 107 nt
Organism: Peromyscus leucopus (white-footed mouse)
Lineage: Eukaryota; Metazoa; Chordata; Mammalia; Rodentia; Cricetidae
Source: RefSeq, a predicted model, not a curated record
GUGCCCACUUCGGCAGCACAUACACUAAAAUUGGAAUGAUACAGAGAAGAUUAGCAUGGCCCCUGAGCAAGGAUGACAUGCAAAUUCAUGAAUUGGUCCAUAUUUUU